GAAGGAUCAUUAAAGAGUAAGGGUGCUCAGCGCCCGACCUCCAACCCUUUGUUGUUAAAACUACCUUGUUGCUUUGGCGGGACCGCUCGGUUCCGAGCCGCUGGGGAUUCGUCCCAGGCGAGUGCCCGCCAGAGUUAAACCAAACUCUUGUUAUUAAACCGGUCGUCUGAGUUAAAAUUUUGAAUAUAUCAAAACUUUCAACAACGGAUCUCUUGGUUCUCGCAUCGAUGAAGAACGCAGCGAAAUGCGAUAAGUAAUGUGAAUUGCAGAAUUCAGUGAAUCAUCGAAUCUUUGAACGCACAUUGCGCCCCUUGGUAUUCCGAGGGGCAUGCCUGUUCGAGCGUCAUUACACCACUCAAGCUAUGCUUGGUAUUGGGUGCCGUCCUUAGUUGGGCGCGCCUUAAAGACCUCGGCGAGGCCACUCCGGCUUUAGGCGUAGUAGAAUUUAUUCGAACGUCUGUCAAAGGAGAGGAACUCUGCCGAUUGAAACCUUUAUUUUUCUAGGUUGACCUCGGAUCAGGUAGGGAUACCCGCUGAACUUAA
RNAcentral lists this unclassified non-coding RNA (543 nucleotides) under Metschnikowia sp. JSKim-2014. Its description in RNAcentral is "partial contains 18S rRNA, ITS1, 5.8S rRNA, and ITS2". The stretch from base 193 to 346 matches the Rfam family "5.8S ribosomal RNA". Lineage: Eukaryota; Fungi; Ascomycota; Pichiomycetes; Serinales; Metschnikowiaceae. The record is from RNAcentral.